GACUCGGCAGGUGGCUGUUGCUGGCUCUCUCUUUAUAAGGGGGAGAAUGUGCACGCCUUCUUGCUUGUUUCCUCCUUUAUCACUUGUGCACUAUUUUGUAGACUCUAAUGUCUAUGUAGUCUUAUCACAAAUACAAUGUUAAGAAUGUAUUCAUACAAAGGUGCCUUUUUGUUGCGCCUUAUAAAAAUAUGAUACAACUUUCAACAAUGGAUCUCUUGGCUCUUGCAUCGAUGAAGAACGCAGCGAAAUGCGAUAAGUAAUGUGAAUUGCAGAAUUCAGUGAAUCAUCGAAUCUUUGAACGCAUCUUGCGCUCCUUGGUAUUCCAAGAAGCAUGCCUGUUUGAGUGUCAUUAAUCUCUCAAAAUGCUUUACUUUUUCAAGCAAAGUGUUUUUGGAUUUUGGGAGUUACUGCUGGCUUGUCAGCUCUCCUUAAAAGCAUUAGAGCCCUUCUCCUAUUAACUGGUAUGAUAAUUAUCUAUGCCUGAGAAAGUGAGAAGUAAGCCUCUAAUCGGUCCUGUCCAUGUUGACCUUA
This 531-nucleotide ribosomal RNA is filed under the name Amanita loosei. RNAcentral describes it as "eukaryotic LSU rRNA". The stretch from base 196 to 349 matches the Rfam family "5.8S ribosomal RNA". Lineage: Eukaryota; Fungi; Basidiomycota; Agaricomycetes; Agaricales; Amanitaceae. The record is from RNAcentral.